RNAcentral lists this unclassified non-coding RNA (212 nucleotides) under uncultured fungus. Its description in RNAcentral is "sequence contains ITS1, 5.8S rRNA gene". The record is from RNAcentral. Lineage: Eukaryota; Fungi.
CAGUGUUUGUGUCGGUGUCGUAGCCGGCGCGCCACUUUUUUGUUUAGUUGGUUGUGUGUGUGUGUGUGUUUGUGGCUUGGUCUGGCUUGGUCUGGCUUGGUCAUUGACUUGGUCUUUGGUCGUUGGCUCAACCUAGGCCAGACACGGACACGGACACGGACAAACAACCGCAAAAGAACAAUCUAUGUAUCGAUGGAUUCUUGGAAUCAAAA